Molecule: microRNA precursor, 93 nt
Filed under: Prunus persica (peach)
Lineage: Eukaryota; Viridiplantae; Streptophyta; Magnoliopsida; Rosales; Rosaceae
Description: MIR6288 microRNA precursor family
Rfam family: MIR6288 microRNA precursor family
Source: Rfam by way of RNAcentral
UCAAAACCAGUCACUUGUGAUUUUCUAAUUGGUUCUUAGUGUGUUAAAAAAGUUAUGAGAAUCAAUUAGAAAAUAACAAGUGGCUAAUUUUGG